Molecule: ribosomal RNA, 494 nt
Filed under: uncultured bacterium
Lineage: Bacteria
Description: partial 16S ribosomal RNA
Rfam family: Bacterial small subunit ribosomal RNA
Source: RNAcentral
AUUGAACGCUGGCGGCACGCCUAACACAUGCAAGUCGGGCGGCAGCACGAGGGGUGUACCCCUCUGGAUGGCGAGUGGCGGGCGUGAGAGUAACGCGUAUGCAUCUGCCUAUUGGAUGGGGUUAAGCCGCGGAAACUCGGCGUACUACCGCAUACGCUCUGAGGAGGAAGGGUUUGCAGCUGUAAACGGCUCAAUCGCUACUAGAUGAACCUGCGUUGGAUUAGCUAGUUGGUAGGGUAAAGGCCUACCAAGGCGAUGAUCUAUAGCUGGUCUGAGAGGAUGACCAGCCACACUGGAACUGAGAUACGGACCAGACUCCUACGGGAGGCAGCAGUGGGGAAUAUUGGACAAUGGGGGAAACCCUGAUCCAGCGAUGCCGCGUGUGUGAAGAAGGCCUGAGGGUUGUAAAGCACUUUAGUUGGUGAGGAAAGGGGAUGCGUUAAUAGCGCGUUCAAGUGACGUUAGCAAAAGAAUAAGCACCGGCAAACUCUGUG